Vombatus ursinus (common wombat) is the source of this 3171-nucleotide long non-coding RNA. RefSeq lists it as uncharacterized. Lineage: Eukaryota; Metazoa; Chordata; Mammalia; Diprotodontia; Vombatidae. The transcript is spliced from 2 exons. The record is from RefSeq and is a predicted model, not a curated record.
UCUAAAGAAAACAGCAGCUGCAGGCAGAGUGGCAGUGGAGGAGGAGGGAAAGGGAGAAAGAGUCCCAGCCGUGGAGGAGGUGAUAGGGAAAGCAGCCCCAGAGGCAGACCCAGCCACCAGGGAAGGGGUUCUCGAGACGAGUCUCAUGAUCCAGGCAUCGAAAUGGGAGAGAGAUCAGGGAGGGGGCAUAGUGAGAGAACACUGGAUGAGGGAGAAGAGCCAGGCUGAGGAAGCAGGGGAUGAGGAGAAAUCCAGACCAGCAUCGCCAGAGCCCGGGGGAGAAGUGCGACACCGAGAGGGAGGGCCCCAGAGCCAGAGUCCCCAGGCCUUAGAAACCAUGACUGUGGAAAACGAGAUGACUGAAAUCGGAGAGAGGCAAGAAAGCGCAGCACAGAAGAAAGAUGAUGCCCUAGGAGCUGAAGUCCCGAGGCCCUAAGAUGGCUUUAAAUAUGUCUUCUGGAAAAAGCAAGACUCAGAAGAGCAAGUCUCUAAUCAUUGUUCUAUCCAGAGCUUUAUAGCACUAAGUGUUUUUUUCUCCCUCUGAGUAUUACACACACACACACACACAUGCACAAGCACGCACAGAGCUGUAGAUUUGUGCGUGAUCAAGAUGCUGAUCUAUUCAUUUUUGCUGAUGCCUGACAAGACAACCUUUUCUGUUUAAUCCAGAGGAACUACAGGACAUGCAACUGAAUGGACUUGCAAGAAGAUAACUUAGAAGAAAUGCUCUCUAAUGGGGUCAGUCUGUAGAUGUUUCCCAUAACUGACAUCCAUCAAUUUUCUAAGUGAAAUCAUAUUUUAAAAUUAGUCCCUUUUAUCCUAAGACUAUCCUAUAGUUUUAUGCAAAAUCACCCUAUAGUUUUAUGAGUUUAUGCAAAUUUAUUUUUUGUUUUAAAUUACUUUUCAUUUUUCUGAGUUACUUGCUUGGGGAUUACCUAAGUCAAACUUGUGACUUGUGCUAAUGACUUGGCUUCUUGGUCCAUGAAAAUCAUGUCCAAUAGUCUCCCAUGUCUGUUCAUCAAGCAAAGUCCAGAGCUGACCUAUAGGAUGCAAUCCCUCGGAAUUGUCCUGACAAGAUGGAUUUGGUGGAUAAAAUGUCUUUGAUUAUAGUCUAGAAAGAUCCUUUCCUUCCGAUAAUGCCAAGUGCUUCCCUCUAAGUGGGAAGGGUUAUGUUGAAAUGCUUCCUGAGAGAGAGAGUAUUUUUAUUAUCCUUCCUUCCCCAGACAGCCAGCUAAGCUCACAGCUUACAGCUUAAGGGUCCUCAUUCCUGGGAAACCAACAUUGAAUCAAAGGAGUGUCUCUUUUAGUCUUAGUGAAGAGAACAGGAUAACCCUGGGAGUCAAACUGGGAGAGCCCGGACCCAGGUGCAUCAAGGCCCUGGUGAAGUCUGUGUUGAUGCCACAAGGAAUGGUCAGGAGAGAUGGCUUGGCCCACUGUUCCCCACUUCUAUGGGGGGUGUUAUGCCAAGACUGCGUCAGGAAAUAGCAGCAUUAGAUUUCUGAAUCACCACUGGGAGCACUUCCCAGAUAAGCAUAGGUGUGCCUCCCUCUAUGGAAAGGGGCUAAUGAAUCCCCUUGGGAUUCCUCUGGCCACAGAGCACUGCCCUUGGGGGCCACUGGCCUGGGCCACCUUUUCCUCUUAUAGAAGUGGUUUGGUAGGUUGGAUAAAGCACUAGUUCUUAGAGCCUGAGUUCAAAUCCCACUUCUGAUGCCUAUUCUCUAUGUGACCGUGGGUGAGUGACUCUGUCCCCUAGUCUCAGUUUCCUCAUGUGUAAAACAAGGGUGGGGGGUGGACAAAGUGGGCUUUGAGGUCCUUUCUGGAUCUGUGAACCUCUGGGUAAAAAGGCUGAUAAAUUCUGUAGAGAAAUGAUCACAAAUAAGUCUAGAAGGUGCUGAGCUCAUUCCUCAGUAGAGGAAAUCCCCUCACUGGGAGUUCCCAAUGCCUGCAAAGUCAUGUAUCUGGUCCAACACCAAACCAUCUUUCCCCCAGGUUCCAUCCCCACCAAAGCCAUUUGCUCCCCCAAAACAGGCAGAGAACCCCACCACUGCCUCAAACAUGUGCUAGCUGGGCCUUCUGAGGCCCUGGGGACCAGGAUUCUUAUUUUGGUUGGCUCUUUGGUGCUUGGUAAAGGAGAAUUCUCUAAGGAACAUGAUCUUUGAUCAUUCACUGCAGAAGAAGGAUUUUGGGGGGGGCAAGGAGGAUAUGGUAUUUGUGGUAAGGAAAAUAGGUCAGAGGGGUGAGGUUGGGCCUUUGAGGGAGGGGUGGGAUCUCCAGUAGGCUGGGAUGAUGGCAUUCUAGGAGGGCUGGUGGUAUUUUCCUCCCCUGCCUUGCCUUCUCCCCCAGCCCUAAGUUAAUAACCAUAAUGAGCUGGCUUGGGAGAUGGGAAUGCUAUGCUCUAAUAGGCUUCUUCCACAGCCUGUAGGCAGGCACCAGGUGUCAGGGGGCAUGAUUUCAUCCUCAAAGUAUGACAUGCCAUGUCUUAAUGAGCCCUCACAUCAGGAUUCUUUGGUCUUUGCUCUCUCUGUCUUCGCCCUUUGGAAUGACAAUGCUUUCACAGAAUGUGGAAGAAUGUGUAAGCUCCUCUCCUGCACUGAACAAUGAUUUCUGUAUGACAGAUGGAAAGGAAACAAUGAUUUAUACAAAGGACUCACGGCAUCAAAGUCCCCUGGGAUGUUCCUAUUCAUGGCACACCUGGAUGUCUCUGGAAUUUCAUGUUCUUGGGCUGGGUCUUCCAUGUGGGCAAUAUGUCAGUGAAAGCAUGAGUAUCACCACCCAUCUGCUCCUCUUCUUCAGUGUUCAUCAUUCUUAAAAGGACCAAUAAAUAAGAUGCUGAAAGGGCGGGUUCAUGGAUGACCUGGCCUAGUUAAGGUGACUCCUCAAUACUUGCCAGGGUGGAACAUCUGCCAGUAGGAGAGAUCACAACCCGUUUUCUCUUUCCGAUGUUGUACCACUCUCAUCCUUGCCCACCCCCCUAAUUCCCUCCCUCCCUUCCUCCUUUAAGGGGCCACUGGACAGGCUGGAGACUUCCUUUUAGAUCCAUUGAUCAAGCAGCAAGAAAUAAACAUUUAUUGUGUCCACUGUGUGCCCAUCAAUGAAUAAGCUUUUGUUUAUCACUUACUAUGUACUAGAUAUUGGGCUAAGCACUGAGAAUACAAAGAAAGGCAAAAAUCA